GAUGAAGAACGUAGCGAAAUGCGAUAAGUAAUGUGAAUUGCAGAAUUCAGUGAAUCAUCGAAUCUUUGAACGCACAUUGCGCCCCCUGGUAUUCCGGGGGGCAUGCCUGUCCGAGCGUCAUUACAACCCUCAAGCUCAGCUUGGUGUUGGGCCCCGCCGCCCCGGCGGGCCCUAAAGUCAGUGGCGGUGCCGUCCGGCUCCGAGCGUAGUAAUUCUUCUCGCUCUGGAGGUCCGGUCGUGUGCUCGCCAGCAACCCCCAAUUUUUUUCAGGUUGACCUCGGAUCAGGUAGGGAUACCCGCUGAACUUAAGCAUAUCAUAAGCGGUGA
Molecule: unclassified non-coding RNA, 327 nt
Filed under: soil metagenome
Description: partial contains 5.8S ribosomal RNA, internal transcribed spacer 2, and large subunit ribosomal RNA
Rfam family: 5.8S ribosomal RNA (bases 1-120)
Source: RNAcentral